AGGGGUAUAGCUCAAUUGGCAGAGCGGCGGUCUCCAAAACCGCAGGUUGGGGGUUCGAUUCCCUCUGCCCCUG
Molecule: transfer RNA, 73 nt
Filed under: Platysternon megacephalum (big-headed turtle)
Lineage: Eukaryota; Metazoa; Chordata; Testudines; Platysternidae
Also listed under: 5 other names
Rfam family: tRNA
About the family: Transfer RNA (tRNA) molecules are approximately 80 nucleotides in length.
Source: Rfam by way of RNAcentral